GCUGGAGUGGAGUGCAGUGGCAUGACCAAGGCUCACUGCAGCCUCAACUUCCUGGGCUCGAGCGACCCCCAAGCCUCAGGAUCCGGAGGAGCUGGGACCACAGAAUCGACCCAACCAUGUGGCUUCACCCUGUGGUGAGGAAAGCCCUGCCACAGACAUUGGCCUGGACCCCUGAAAUCCAUCCAGACCAAGCACUUCCAUCGCAACACCCAGCCAGCCCUCUGCAUCUGCAGUCCACUUUGGAAUUUUUAGCUCCUCAGCCAGGUCUGGCUCUGGAAAACUGUCAAGGGUCCUACUUCUCCUCUUGAUGAGCCACACAGAAUCCUUUCCGCCCUUUGUCAACCCAGCACCAGACUCACACCCUCUGUGUUGACAGCGGCCGCCACCUCCACCAGCAGCAGUGGACAGUUAUUGCACACUCGAACCUUGCGCCAGGCACUGUGCUAUGGACUGGACCCGUAAUACCACAUUGUAUCUCACAACCACCCCAUCUUAUAGGCAUGUCCCCCUUUGUCCAAAGGCAAAAGGCUCAGAGGGGUUAAGGACCUUGCCCAAGGGUACACAGGCCAGUCCAGCGGGGAGCCCAGACUAAAACCCACAGUUGCAGGGUUGUUACUCCUGCAUCGACACCUCCCUUUCAAGUCGUGCCGCCAGGAGGGAGACCGCCGAUUCUCACCACACACCCACCCGCCUAAGAGGUCAGGUGGCCUGUGGUCUUCAGGAGCUGGCGUCCACCCCUCCCCAGCCUUAGCAGCCUGUUCCUCCAUCCUGGUCUGGCCUGUCCUCUUUGCGCAGUGGUGACACUGAUAGAAAUCCACCCAGAAGUAAGCAGACAGGAUCCCCGAGUGCAGGAACCAAGCUGGGGAGGGCCGAAGGCUGGGCUGGGUAUGGAGACCCAGGAUUCAGAUCAUGGGUCCUGCUGCCUCAGUCUUAGCCUCUAAGCCCAGACUUCUCAUCCAUAAACUGGGCAGCAUGCUGCCUUCUGUGCCCAGCUGUCGGGAGACGCAGGCAGGGAGGGUUCUGGGAAGGAGCAUGGACUGUGCAGGCCCCACCCUUGAGGGAGACUCAAGAGUAUUCGAGACCAGAUCCCUUACUGGGGCACUACUGAAGUCCAGCCAUGGUCAACAUGGGGCCGAAACGGACAGACAGACGGCCUUUAUCAACCCCUGCCCGACACCUGGUCCUGCUACUGACCAGCCCCACGAGAGAAGGCUGCAGAUGGACAGGCUGAGACUGCAGGCCUUGUUCCAGGUGCUGGGCCACUCCCAUCCUGCUGAUAUUUCCAGGCUAAAACUACCAUGGUCACACUCCACGGUGAGGAGCACUGGGGCCCAGCAAACAGGGCCAGUCUCGAGCAGAGCCUCAGGUGCCAGAUACGCGACUUUGUUUUUCUACAACUCAGCUCCUCUAAGGACCAUCCUGGGGGUGGCAAGAGCUGACUCUUGGUCCUCUGUCCUCACUCCCCACACUCCUCUUCCCGGCAUUGGGCUAGCACAGCAGGCAGCUGCUGGGGGCACCAGGCCUUCGGUGUUAUCUCAGAGACCCAGGGUACCCAUGCCCUCCUCAUCUGCCCAUGGCACUCCUUCCACCUCAGCACAGGAAUUCAAAAGCCUAUUUUGA
RNAcentral lists this long non-coding RNA (1620 nucleotides) under Papio anubis (olive baboon). RNAcentral describes it as "lncRNA (ENSPANG00000047213.1)". Lineage: Eukaryota; Metazoa; Chordata; Mammalia; Primates; Cercopithecidae. The record is from RNAcentral.